Molecule: ribosomal RNA, 465 nt
Filed under: uncultured Gemmatimonas sp.
Lineage: Bacteria; Pseudomonadati; Gemmatimonadota; Gemmatimonadia; Gemmatimonadales; Gemmatimonadaceae
Also listed under: 1 other name
Description: bacterial SSU rRNA
Rfam family: Bacterial small subunit ribosomal RNA
Source: RNAcentral
CCUACGGGAGGCUGCAGUGGGGAAUUUUGGACAAUGGGCGCAAGCCUGAUCCAGCCAUGCCGCGUGCGGGAAGAAGGCCUUCGGGUUGUAAACCGCUUUUGUCAGGGAAGAAAAGGUUCUGGCUAAUACCUGGGACUCAUGACGGUACCUGAAGAAUAAGCACCGGCUAACUACGUGCCAGCAGCCGCGGUAAUACGUAGGGUGCAAGCGUUAAUCGGAAUUACUGGGCGUAAAGCGUGCGCAGGCGGUUAUGCAAGACAGAGGUGAAAUCCCCGGGCUCAACCUGGGAACUGCCUUUGUGACUGCAUGGCUAGAGUACGGUAGAGGGGGAUGGAAUUCCGCGUGUAGCAGUGAAAUGCGUAGAUAUGCGGAGGAACACCGAUGGCGAAGGCAAUCCCCUGGACCUGUACUGACGCUCAUGCACGAAAGCGUGGGGAGCAAACAGGAUUAGAUACCCUAGUAGUC